CGGUAAUACGGAGGGUGCAAGCGUUAAUCGGAAUUACUGGGCGUAAAGCGCACGCAGGCGGUCUGUCAAGUCGGAUGUGAAAUCCCCGGGCUCAACCUGGGAACUGCAUUCGAAACUGGCAGGCUUGAGUCUUGUAGAGGGGGGUAGAAUUCCAGGUGUAGCGGUGAAAUGCGUAGAGAUCUGGAGGAAUACCGGUGGCGAAGGCGGCCCCCUGGACAAAGACUGACGCUCAGGUGCGAAAGCGUGGGGAGCAAACAGGAUUAGAUACCCUGGUAGUCCACGCCGUAAACGAUGUCUACUUGGAGGUUGUGCCCUUGAGGCGUGGCUUCCGGAGCUAACGCGUUAAGUAGACCGCCUGGGGAGUACGGCCGCAAGGUUAAAACUCAAAUGAAUUGACGGGGGCCCGCACAAGCGGUGGAGCAUGUGGUUUAAUUCGAUGCAACGCGAAGAACC
This 453-nucleotide ribosomal RNA is filed under the name Salmonella enterica. RNAcentral's name for it is "bacterial SSU rRNA". It matches the Rfam family "Bacterial small subunit ribosomal RNA", at positions 518 to 970 of the family's 1533-position model. RNAcentral also lists the same sequence under 2 other names. The record is from RNAcentral. Lineage: Bacteria; Pseudomonadati; Pseudomonadota; Gammaproteobacteria; Enterobacterales; Enterobacteriaceae.